CCUUCAACUCACCAUCCCGUUGAGGUUCUCCUUAUGCGUGAAAACUUAACUCAAUUUGCUAAUGAGGUUGGUAUAAGUUUUGAACUUGAUGUGGUUAACUUUGAUUCCUUGGAAGUUCCUGCAUAAAAGAAGCCCAUUGAGCACUGAAAAUGAGGCUGUUGCGGUGAAUUUUCCUAUUUGGUCCUCCUCGAACCAACCAUCUGCAUUACCCUCUCUGUUGCGCUUUAUAAAGCAGCUUUCCCCAAAGAUUGUUGUGUCUUUGGAUAGAGGAUGUGAUAGAACUGACCUUCCAUUCCCACAACACAUCCUCCAUGCUCUUCAAUCCUAUAUACACCUGUUGGAAUCGCUGGAUGCUGUUAAUGUGGCUUCUGAUGUUGUGAACAAGAUUGAGAAAUUUCUACUCCAGCCAAGGAUUGAGAGUACUGUGUUGGGACGUCUUCGUGCACCAGAGAAAAUGCCCAAUUGGAAGACAAUCUUUGCUUCUGCUGGGUUGUUUUCACCUGUACCUUUCAGCAACUUUACUGAAACUCAAGCAGAGUGUGUGGUCAAGAGGACUCCAGUGAGGGGGUUUCAUGUGGAGAAGCGCCAAGCCUUGCUNAUGUUGGCAGCGCAGAGAGCUGAUCUCAGCUUCCGCUUGGAGUUGCUGAGGAGUGGCAAUUUGACUGGCAGGGGAGGUUGGUUUUCAUCAACCUCAGAUAAACUGUGAGUUGAU
Molecule: unclassified non-coding RNA, 712 nt
Filed under: Hevea brasiliensis (rubber tree)
Lineage: Eukaryota; Viridiplantae; Streptophyta; Magnoliopsida; Malpighiales; Euphorbiaceae
Source: RNAcentral